GGUCUGGGACAACAGUUGGAAACGACUGCUAAUACCGGAUGUGCCGUAAGGUGAAAGAUUUAUUGCCUGGAGAUGAGCUCGCGUCUGAUUAGCUAGUUGGUGGGGUAAAGGCUUACCAAGGCGACGAUCAGUAGCUGGUCUGAGAGGAUGAUCAGCCACACUGGGACUGAGACACGGCCCAGACUCCUACGGGAGGCAGCAGUGGGGAAUUUUCCGCAAUGGGCGAAAGCCUGACGGAGCAAUACCGCGUGAGGGAGGAAGGCUCUUGGGUUGUAAACCUCUUUUCUCAAGGAAGAACACAAUGACGGUACUUGAGGAAUAAGCAUCGGCUAACUCCGUGCCAGCAGCCGCGGUAAUACGGAGGAUGCAAGCGUUAUCCGGAAUGAUUGGGCGUAAAGCGUCCGCAGGUGGUCUUGUAAGUCUGCUGUUAAAGCGUGAGGCUCAACCUCAUAUGGGCGGUGGAAACUACAAAACUAGAGUACGUUCGGGGCAGAGGGAAUUCCUGGUGUAGCGGUGAAAUGCGUAGAUAUCAGGAAGAACACCGGUGGCGAAAGCGCUCUGCUAGGCCGUAACUGACACUGANGGACGAAAGCUAGGGGAGCGAAUGGGAUUAGAUACCCCAGUAGUCAA
Molecule: ribosomal RNA, 630 nt
Filed under: uncultured Anabaena sp.
Lineage: Bacteria; Bacillati; Cyanobacteriota; Cyanophyceae; Nostocales; Nostocaceae
Description: bacterial SSU rRNA
Rfam family: Bacterial small subunit ribosomal RNA
Source: RNAcentral